Molecule: non-coding RNA, 1348 nt
Organism: Drosophila melanogaster (fruit fly)
Lineage: Eukaryota; Metazoa; Arthropoda; Insecta; Diptera; Drosophilidae
Source: Ensembl
AUUUUCAAUGACCUGCAGCAUUACUUUUUGCUCAGUGUACCGACUAGUAUUGAUGACGCUGAUUGCUGACUUGGCCGACACGUUGCUGGUCUUUGACGUUUUCUAAAAUGAUUGCAACGAAUUACACACAACAGCCGCAACCGAGUGCCGAGCAAAACCUUUCAUAAAAAACAAUGCCAAUGCUGACAUCGAAUCAAUGUAACUACCAGGCUAAGUUAAGACUCCACUCCACUCCAAUCCAAUCGGCAAUCCACUCCAAUCGACGACUCCAACUCUCCAACUUGGCGAAAAGGAAGCAAAGACAGUGCAGCAAGAAAAGAAAAAAUACAAACUAAAUAAAACAAAACAAAACAGACGGCACAUUAAACAUGCAUCCUGUCUGUGCCAAGGUUGCCGCAUUUGCCGCUCUGUAACUCUGCAACAACUCGGCUGAAAAAGCCAACCUCAGAAAGAUAUACUUUGCCACCAACGCCGACGCGAAGAAGCAGGUGUUACCAACAAUUACUUUGCACACGGCUGGCUGACUGGCUGGUUGGCUGGCUGGCUGACUGGCUGACUGGCUGCUCCCUCGCAGAUGAAGACAAAACUAAAAAAAUACUUGAAAAAAACUCCAACUGCAACACCGGCAACAACAGCAUGUUGCUGCUGCGCCAGUUGUUGUUUACAACUAGACAGGCUCUAAAGCUAGACUCUGGGUUUCUACCCUGGCGGAUGCUGGCGCAUAUUAAGCGCAAACUAUUAAAAAUAAAUCAUGGCACAGUAUCAAGAUCGGGCAACGACGAAGACCCGCUCUUGGAUGUUGCAUGUGCUGGAUGUUGCCGCUUGUAUGUCGCUGCAUGUUGCUGCUGUUGUGGCCAAGCGCCGUGCGGCGCUUUUGCAUGCCACUGCUGACUACACUGAGAGCAAAGCGACAUUCGUUUGAGUUGUGCUUGAAGAUUUUUAAAAUUGUAAAUAAUAUUAAAAGGAAGAAGGAAGAACCAUUGAGCUCUAUACUAUAUUUGUACGAAGUAAAUAUCACCAUAUUUAUUUUCCAAGUGUACUGACCGCUGUCCACCUUCAGGACAGGAGAAUGCUGGUUGGUAAAACUCCUAUAUUGGACUUGCCAAUAAUGUCAUUGUGCUGCAACUGCCAUGCCAAAAGACAGCCAACGAUGCCCCGGGUGGACUAUGUGGAGCAGUUGUUAAAGGACAAACAAAGGGACAAAUGAUUGUUGCUGCCGUUGCAGCGGCAUUCACAUGUAGCAGAUCGUACACUUGAAGAAAUGCAAAUGGGCCAACGGAGAGGGAACACUGAGAUUUGCCAAUGAAUGAAGAGUUAUUGGCGUUGGCAAGAUGAUUUUAUUGACAUU